This is a long non-coding RNA of Megalopta genalis, 1012 nucleotides long. RefSeq lists it as uncharacterized. The record is from RefSeq and is a predicted model, not a curated record. NCBI's taxonomy places the organism in Eukaryota, Metazoa, Arthropoda, Insecta, Hymenoptera, Halictidae.
AUUCGUUAGCGACGCGUCGACGGGAAGAACCAGACGUGGAAUACCUGCGGUAUUCAUAAAAACGUAGUACCUUCUGUUUGGCUUUUCAAUCGCGACGAUGGCUGCAGCGAGUUCCGCGUGACGAAAUCACGCAGAGAGAAAAAGAGAGAGAGAGAGAGAACAUUGUCGAUAUCAUCGGAGGUUUUUCUGUAUAAUAUAAGCAGAGCAAGUUUUCAAACGCGCGGCCGGACUCUCCGACGUGUUUCAACCCCGACGCUGGCCGCGGUCGCCUGUGAAACGCCGUAAUUCGACUCGGAUCGACGCACUGUUCCAUCCAGGCACGCUAAUUUCUUUCGUGGUCCACUUAGACGCGACGUAAAGCGUUAUCUUUGCCUAGGGAUUCAGUCAAAAUGCAGUUUACUGAGCGAAGAUGGCGGAGUAAAAAAUUUUGAACUACUGCAUAGGGUGCGCGAGACGAUUUCCUGCAACUUUUUCCUUUACAAAAAUUUUGCCCGACGCUUAGUUAACGAGAUAUUAACGGAAAACUACGGGUCAAUCGGAGAGCUGGCUCUUCGGUCCCGAUGUUACCGGCCACUGUCGCGACGAUGACUCAUCGCAUGGUGGCCGCGCGUGCCGCGCUAGGCCGGAGCGCCCCGCGAUGAGUCAUCCCACUACAAUGGCCGCUCCGUUCGGGGUUUUUCGUUGAUAUCUCCGUAACGAAGCCACUUAGAAAAUUUUCGCAAAGGACAAAGUUGCUCCAAAUCAUCUGGAGAAUCGUUUCUUUCUCCAUACGUCAGUGUAUCUCUGUCUGUAGAGUGGCAUUUCUUAUUCCAGACGUCGUCUACAACCUGUUACGCUCUUUAAUAUUAUAUUGUUUACGUUCACAUCGUUUAUAAUCACAUUGUUCACAACCGCAUUAUUUAUAAUCGCAUUGUUUAUGACCAUAAUUGUUCGUUACGGUUUUGAGCAACAUAUGUGUACCGAAAAAUUUGUUUAAAAAAAUCGGAAAAAUCGGGAAAAUUUGCAUCACCAA